Molecule: ribosomal RNA, 425 nt
Filed under: uncultured bacterium
Lineage: Bacteria
Description: partial 16S ribosomal RNA
Rfam family: Bacterial small subunit ribosomal RNA
Source: RNAcentral
GUGGGGAAUAUUGGACAAUGGGCGCAAGCCUGAUCCAGCCAUGCCGCGUGAGUGAUGAAGGCCUUAGGGUUGUAAAGCUCUUUCGUCAGGGAAGAUAAUGACGGUACCUGAAGAAGAAGCCCCGGCUAACUUCGUGCCAGCAGCCGCGGUAAUACGAAGGGGGCUAGCGUUGCUCGGAAUCACUGGGCGUAAAGCGCACGUAGGCGGACAUUUAAGUCAGGGGUGAAAUCCCAGAGCUCAACUCUGGAACUGCCUUUGAUACUGGGUGUCUUGAGUAUGGAAGAGGUAAGUGGAAUUCCGAGUGUAGAGGUGAAAUUCGUAGAUAUUCGGAGGAACACCAGUGGCGAAGGCGGCUUACUGGUCCAUUACUGACGCUGAGGUGCGAAAGCGUGGGGAGCAAACAGGAUUAGAAACCCUGGUAGUCC